Callithrix jacchus (white-tufted-ear marmoset) is the source of this 377-nucleotide long non-coding RNA. RefSeq lists it as uncharacterized. NCBI's taxonomy places the organism in Eukaryota, Metazoa, Chordata, Mammalia, Primates, Cebidae. The record is from RefSeq and is a predicted model, not a curated record.
CCAACUCAGAUCUCCCCCCUCCCCCAGCCCUAAACCACCCUCACCUCUGUUCUGGCCUCCUCAGAGUGCCCUGACAGGACCAGGACAUGCGGGUGUCAUAGCUGCUCUUUUGGCUCCUCCUGCUGGGGUUUCCCAGCCAUCAAGCCACACGUAUGGGAAAUGAGGAAAAAGAAGAGUGCCAGAGAGACACAUGAGUGAGGAGCUGGCCAAGAAACACCUGGGCCUAGAGAACCCUUUCUGGAGAGGUUAAUAUGGCUGCAGCACAGCAUCAUCAUUUCUCAGGAUUGCCCUACUCACCCUACAUCAUGGUUGACUCUUCAAGACCACUGAUGGGUUCCUGGCCACCUCCUCCAUCAGGCUGUCUGUCACCUGGGAGC